This 433-nucleotide ribosomal RNA is filed under the name uncultured bacterium. RNAcentral's name for it is "partial 16S ribosomal RNA". It matches the Rfam family "Bacterial small subunit ribosomal RNA", at positions 29 to 507 of the family's 1533-position model. The record is from RNAcentral.
AACGAACGCUGGCGGCAUGCCUAACACAUGCAAGUCGAACGAGACCUUCGGGUCUAGUGGCGCACGGGUGCGUAACGCGUGGGAACCUGCCUUUAGGUUCGGAAUAACUCAGAGAAAUUUGAGCUAAUACCGGAUGAUGUCUUCGGACCAAAGAUUUAUCGCCUUUAGAUGGGCCCGCGUUGGAUUAGCUAGUUGGUGGGGUAAAGGCCUACCAAGGCGACGAUCCAUAGCUGGUCUGAGAGGAUGAUCAGCCACACUGGGACUGAGACACGGCCCAGACUCCUACGGGAGGCAGCAGUGGGGAAUAGUGGACAAUGGGCGAAAGCCUGAUCCAGCAAUGCCGCGUGAGUGAUGAAGGCCUUAGGGUUGUAAAGCUCUUUUACCCGAGAUGAUAAUGACAGUAUCGGGAGAAUAAGCUCCGGCUAACUCCAUG